UCUGAUCAACUGUCCCUUGCAAGGUACUCGGAUUACACCGUGGCAGCCAGAUGUCUGACCAGAUAUGUGUGAGGCUUUUCAGCGGCACCUCGGCUACGCUCUGCUUUAAGAUGCACAAUGAAAGUGUCAAGCUGCCUCUCUCUUCCCUCUCCACCACCCUCACAACCACGGAAACGGCUUGCCUGCAGUCUGGAGAACACGUCCUCUCCUCUGCAACGCAGGACCUGUCCCUGGGUAGGAAGACAGGGAAGACCCAGAGUGACAACAUGGAACGUAAAGCCUUGACACUCA
Molecule: long non-coding RNA, 291 nt
Organism: Osmerus eperlanus (European smelt)
Lineage: Eukaryota; Metazoa; Chordata; Actinopteri; Osmeriformes; Osmeridae
Exons: 3
Source: RefSeq, a predicted model, not a curated record